RNAcentral lists this ribosomal RNA (254 nucleotides) under uncultured bacterium. RNAcentral describes it as "partial 16S ribosomal RNA". It matches the Rfam family "Bacterial small subunit ribosomal RNA", at positions 524 to 776 of the family's 1533-position model. The record is from RNAcentral.
UACGGGGGGAGCAAGCGUUGUUCGGAUUUACUGGGUGUAAAGGGCGCGUAGGCGGUCAGCACAAGUCAGUUGUGAAAUCUCCGGGCUUAACUCGGAAAGGUCAACUGAUACUGUGCGACUAGAGUGCGGAAGGGGCAACUGGAAUUCUCGGUGUAGCGGUGAAAUGCGUAGAUAUCGAGAGGAACACCUGCGGCGAAGGCGGGUUGCUGGGCCGACACUGACGCUGAUGCGCGAAAGCCAGGGGAGCGAACGGG